CCUACGGGUGGCUGCAGUGGGGAAUAUUGCACAAUGGGGGAAACCCUGAUGCAGCAACGCCGCGUGAGUGAAGAAGGAUCUCGGUACGUAAAGCCCUAUCAUCAGAGAAGAAAAUGACGGUACCUGACUAAUAAGCCCCGGCUAACUCCGUGCCAGCAGCCGCGGUAAUACGUAGGGGGCAAGCGUUAGCCGGAUUUACUGGGUGUAAAGAGUGCGUAGACGGCAGUGCAAGUCUGGAGUGAAAUCCCGGGGCUUAACCACGGAACUGCGUUGGAAACUGUGCGGCGGGAGUGCGGGAGGGGUAGGCGGAAUUCUUAGUGUAGGGGUGAAAGGCGUAGAUAUUAGGAGGAACACUGGUGGCGAAGGCGGCCUACUGGAAUGUAACUGACGCUGAGGCUCGAAAGCGUGGGGAGCAAACAGGAUUAGAUACCCCGGUAGUC
Molecule: ribosomal RNA, 440 nt
Filed under: uncultured bacterium
Lineage: Bacteria
Description: partial 16S ribosomal RNA
Rfam family: Bacterial small subunit ribosomal RNA
Source: RNAcentral